RNAcentral lists this ribosomal RNA (433 nucleotides) under uncultured bacterium. RNAcentral's name for it is "partial 16S ribosomal RNA". It matches the Rfam family "Bacterial small subunit ribosomal RNA", at positions 29 to 507 of the family's 1533-position model. The record is from RNAcentral.
AACGAACGCUGGCGGCAUGCCUAACACAUGCAAGUCGAACGAGACCUUCGGGUCUAGUGGCGCACGGGUGCGUAACGCGUGGGAACCUGCCCUUAGGUUCGGAAUAACUCCCCGAAAGGGGUGCUAAUACCGGAUAAUGUCUUCGGACCAAAGAUUUAUCGCCUUUGGAUGGGCCCGCGUUGGAUUAGCUAGUUGGUAGGGUAAAAGCCUACCAAGGCGACGAUCCAUAGCUGGUCUGAGAGGAUGAUCAGCCACACUGGGACUGAGACACGGCCCAGACUCCUACGGGAGGCAGCAGUGGGGAAUAUUGGACACUGGGCGAAAGCCUGAUCCAGCCAUGCCGCGUGAGUGAUGAAGGCCUUAGGGUUGUAAAGCUCUUUUACCCGGGAUGAUAAUGACAGUACCGGGAGAAUAAGCUCCGGCUAACUCCGUG